UAAACACUAAACGCAAAAUCUUAACCUUAAACCUUAAACCCUAAAUCCUACUUUAACUUCCUGGUUCUUUUUGCGUUUCUAGUUCUUAGACUGAAUGAUAAACAAAACAUCAAGUCAUAUUUGACUACAAAAACACAAACCAAGCUUCUUCUUGAUUCUCAAAGCUUUGAUGGUGAAGCCGAAGUUCUUAUGAGUUUUUUGGUUUUGAAUCAUAUAACAAGGAAGCACUACUUUACUUUUCAGUAUCUCGUUGAGGUUCUAGUUUUAUAUUCAAUUAUACACAUGACAUCUAGUCAUAUUUCACUCCGAAACGCUAACCAAGAUUCUUCUUGCUUUUUAAAGUAUCAUACUAUAUUUGAUCCUAAACACUAAACCUAAACUCUACACCCUAUAUCCCAGAACCUAAAAUCGAACCCCUAAACCGUAACUCAUGAACCCUAAAU
This 443-nucleotide small RNA is filed under the name Arabidopsis thaliana (thale cress). RNAcentral's name for it is "ATSL039950". Lineage: Eukaryota; Viridiplantae; Streptophyta; Magnoliopsida; Brassicales; Brassicaceae. The record is from RNAcentral.